GAGCUGACCAUGAAGCAAUAUUUUGAAGAAGAGACCAGAAGAAAGAAGACAAUUGCUCUCAAAUCAACAGUGCAAGAAGAAGAAGAUUCAAAAAAAUCAAAAAAUAGUGAAGAAGAUGAGGACUUGGCGUUAAUCACUAGAAAUUCAGAUCCUUUAUGAGGAAAAGAAGAUAAGGGACCAAUAGAAAACCACCAGUUAAGAGGGAGCUGAGUAAAGAAAAGAAAAAAGAGCAGCCCAUCAUCUGUUAUGAAUAUAAGAAGUCAGGCCACUUC
This 272-nucleotide long non-coding RNA is filed under the name Elaeis guineensis (African oil palm). RNAcentral describes it as "long non-coding RNA (EGUI_LNC042094)". The record is from RNAcentral. Lineage: Eukaryota; Viridiplantae; Streptophyta; Magnoliopsida; Arecales; Arecaceae.